Molecule: ribosomal RNA, 491 nt
Filed under: uncultured bacterium
Lineage: Bacteria
Description: partial 16S ribosomal RNA
Rfam family: Bacterial small subunit ribosomal RNA
Source: RNAcentral
AGUGAACGCUGGCGGUAGGCCUAACACAUGCAAGUCGAACGGCAGCACAGUAAGAGCUUGCUCUUACGGGUGGCGAGUGGCGGACGGGUGAGGAAUACAUCGGAAUCUACUUUUUCGUGGGGGAUAACGUAGGGAAACUUACGCUAAUACCGCAUACGACCUACGGGUGAAAGCAGGGGAUCUUCGGACCUUGCGCGAUUGAAUGAGCCGAUGUCGGAUUAGCUAGUUGGCGGGGUAAAGGCCCACCAAGGCGACGAUCCGUAGCUGGUCUGAGAGGAUGAUCAGCCACACUGGAACGGAGACACGGUCCAGACUCCGACGGGAGGCAGCAGUGGGGAAUAUUGGACAAGGGGCGCAAGCGUGAUCCAGCCAUACCGCGUGGGUGAAGAAGGCCUUCGGGUUGUAAAGCCCUUUUGUUGGGAAAGAAAAGCAGCAGGUUAAUACCCCGCUGUUCGGACGGUACCCAAAGAAUAAGCACCGGCUAACUUCGG